RNAcentral lists this ribosomal RNA (329 nucleotides) under Podarcis cretensis. RNAcentral describes it as "partial large subunit ribosomal RNA". It matches the Rfam family "Bacterial large subunit ribosomal RNA", at positions 2018 to 2545 of the family's 2925-position model. Lineage: Eukaryota; Metazoa; Chordata; Lepidosauria; Squamata; Lacertidae. The record is from RNAcentral.
GUCUCUUACGGACUAGCCAAUGAAAUUGAUCCUUCAGUACAAAAGCUGGAAUUAACCCAUAAGACGAGAAGACCCUGUGGAGCUUCAAAACCAAAAUCACUAAACAUGCCUCCUGGUUUUUUAGUUGGGGCGACUUUGGAGCAAAAAAAAUCCUCCAAAACAUAAAGUCAUUUAUUAAGAAAAACACACCAAAAAUAAUAUUAUAGACCCAGCAGUACUAGUUUACUGUCUGAUCAAUGAACCAAGUUACCCCAGGGAUAACAGCGCCAUCCUCUUCUAGAGUCCUUAUCGACAAGAGGGUUUACGACCUCGAUGUUGGAUCAGGACAC